AGCUCUUUUGCUACAUGCAUUAGAAUGUGAGCAACAGAGGGAUACCCGAGACUCCAAGGCAUGCAUGUUGUGAAGGAUGCAAUUCAUUGCUUGAGGUCUUGAGUGAUCCUUUGCAAAGCAACCGACAAAAUUUGGAG
Molecule: long non-coding RNA, 137 nt
Filed under: Mus caroli (Ryukyu mouse)
Lineage: Eukaryota; Metazoa; Chordata; Mammalia; Rodentia; Muridae
Description: lncRNA (MGP_CAROLIEiJ_G0006510.1)
Source: RNAcentral